GACGAACGCUGGCGGCGUGCUUAACACGUGCAAGUCGAGCGGUAAGGCCCUUUCGGGGGUACGACGAGCGGCGAACGGGUGAGUAACACGUGGGUGACCUGCCCUCAGCUCUGGGAUAAGCCUGGGAAACCGGGUCUAAUACUGGAUAUGACUCCAUGACGCAUGUUGUGGGGUGGAAAGCCUUGUGCGGCUGAGGAUGGGCCCGCGGCCUAUCAGCUUGUUGGUGGGGUGANGGCCUACCAAGGCGACGACGGGUAGCCGGCCUGAGAGGGCGACCGGCCACACUGGGACUGAGACACGGCCCAGACUCCUACGGGAGGCAGCAGUGGGGAAUCUUGCGCAAUGGGCGAAAGCCUGACGCAGCGACGCCGCGUGAGGGAUGACGGCCUCGG
Molecule: ribosomal RNA, 392 nt
Filed under: uncultured bacterium
Lineage: Bacteria
Description: bacterial SSU rRNA
Rfam family: Bacterial small subunit ribosomal RNA
Source: RNAcentral